UACAGAGGGUGCAAGCGUUAAUCGGAAUUACUGGGCGUAAAGCGUGCGCAGACGGUUGCGUAAGUCAGAUGUGAAAGCCCCGGGCUCAACCUGGGAAUUGCAUUUGAGACUGCGUAGCUAGGGUGCGGAAGAGGGAAGCGGAAUUUCCGGUGUAGCGGUGAAAUGCGUAGAUAUCUGGAGGAACACCGGUGGCGAAGGCGGCAUCCUGGACCGAGAUUGACGCUGAUGCGCGAAAGCCAGGGGAGCAAACGGG
RNAcentral lists this ribosomal RNA (253 nucleotides) under uncultured bacterium. RNAcentral describes it as "partial 16S ribosomal RNA". It matches the Rfam family "Bacterial small subunit ribosomal RNA", at positions 524 to 776 of the family's 1533-position model. The record is from RNAcentral.